CCCUUUUAAUGGUCUCCCUUAAGCUGACUUGGUGAAGCCAGUGGGAGGAUCAUGAUAAGCUGGUUCAUCUGACCUCAUUCUCUAAAUCAUUUAAAUCCUCUAAAAUUAUUAGGUCCUUAAAAUGAUAAAGUUAUAGAGAUAACUGAGUCAUAGCCUCCCAUUAAGGUGUUUGAUAAUGAGUCCAUUAACUCAAUAAUCA
Molecule: long non-coding RNA, 199 nt
Filed under: Elaeis guineensis (African oil palm)
Lineage: Eukaryota; Viridiplantae; Streptophyta; Magnoliopsida; Arecales; Arecaceae
Description: long non-coding RNA (EGUI_LNC048785)
Source: RNAcentral